ACGCCCUCUCCCCUCCCGCCCAGGUUGGAAUAGAAAUCCCUGCCUGAGAUGACGUAUCUCCCUGAUCUUUCCUCUCCUGGAGGAAUAUUUAAUUUACACGCAUUCACACCUGGACCAGAAGGAUGACGGGAGUAGCCUCAGCACUUAAAAAUGAUCCGAGAGCACGGAAUAAAAAGAAAAAAAAACACCAUGAAGAGAAAUUGAACUCUUGCAUCGUUGUAGAAGUGUGUAACUGGAACUGCCACACCAAAUAAUAGGUCCAUGACUAGACUUCAGCAUUUGUGACAUGUCUUUGAAGCUUCCUGCUCCCCUGGAUGGAAGAAAGCUGAUUUAUAAAAGCAGACAUUUUGCCCCAGAAGCUGAUUUCAUCCCAAGAUGGGCUUUGGCUCCCGAUGCUGCUGCUAAAGUUUGGAAACCAGAACGUCCUUCAGCAUGGCUCAGGAAGUAAGCAGAGAAACUGCUGGCUUGUGUCUCGUGGGUCUUGCUUGCUUAAUUUUCCAUCACAACAAGCUCUUCAGUGGCUGUCCUGGGAGAUGAGCAGUGGAGACGAGGUGCGUUCUUGAACAUGGGCUGAGAACCUGGGGGCAAUAAAAGCCAAGUUUUGCUCUAA
Long non-coding RNA from Cygnus atratus (black swan), 610 nucleotides. RefSeq lists it as uncharacterized. The record is from RefSeq and is a predicted model, not a curated record. The transcript is spliced from 3 exons. Lineage: Eukaryota; Metazoa; Chordata; Aves; Anseriformes; Anatidae.